CCUACGGGGGGCAGCAGUGGGGAAUUUUGCGCAAUGGACGAAAGUCUGACGCAGCAACGCCGCGUGGGUGAUGAAGGUCUUCGGAUUGUAAAACCCUGUCGUCAGGGACGAAGGUUGGGGCCUUAAUACGGUUUCAACUUGACGGUACCUGGAGAGGAAGCCCCGGCUAACUCUGUGCCAGCAGCCGCGGUAAUACAGAGGGGGCAAGCGUUAUUCGGAAUUACUGGGCGUAAAGGGCGCGUAGGCGGUUCUUUAAGUCGGAUGUGCAAUCCCCG
RNAcentral lists this ribosomal RNA (275 nucleotides) under uncultured Holophaga sp. RNAcentral describes it as "partial 16S ribosomal RNA". It matches the Rfam family "Bacterial small subunit ribosomal RNA", at positions 338 to 605 of the family's 1533-position model. Lineage: Bacteria; Pseudomonadati; Acidobacteriota; Holophagae; Holophagales; Holophagaceae. The record is from RNAcentral.